GCGGCCAUUUUAACUCACAGACACUGUUUGGACUUUUCUACACAGUGCCAUCUCGCCGGUAUUUGGUGCACAAAGACAUCGUGCAGUAGUUUUAAACUAUACAACAGGGGACACAUUAUACAGUAAUUAUUUUUCAUAUAGCCUGUAUAUGUUCUGCGGAAUCUUUUUAUGGGGUUAUUGCAUGUUUUGGGGUCCCUGUGAUAUGUUUUAUAAUACUGCAGAGGGGAGGAUUUUGUGUGGGAGUGUCUGUGUGUAUUGUACGGAUUGAUUGGUUGUAUUUCAAAACCCUGUGGGCAGUACUAUGUUUGUGGAUUGUGAAUAAAAGAGGCUGUAUGUGCCAGUACAGUCAGUUCUGCUUGAC
This is a non-coding RNA of Pelobates cultripes (western spadefoot toad), 361 nucleotides long. The record is from the annotation of a GenBank genome assembly. NCBI's taxonomy places the organism in Eukaryota, Metazoa, Chordata, Amphibia, Anura, Pelobatidae.